ACGCUGGCGGAAUGCUUUACACAUGCAAGUCGAGCGGCAGCGCGGGGGCAACCCUGGCGGCGAGCGGCGAACGGGUGAGUAAUGUAUCGGAACGUACCCAGUCGUGGGGGAUAACUAUCCGAAAGGAUAGCUAAUACCGCAUACGUCCUGAGGGAGAAAGCGGGGGACCGAAAGGCCUCGCGCGAUUGGAGCGGCCGAUAUCGGAUUAGCUAGUUGGUGAGGUAAAGGCUCACCAAGGCGACGAUCCGUAGCUGGUCUGAGAGGACGACCAGCCACACUGGAACUGAGACACGGUCCAGACUCCUACGGGAGGCAGCAGUGGGGAAUUUUGGACAAUGGGGGCAACCCUGAUCCAGCCAUUCCGCGUGAGUGAAGAAGGCCUUCGGGUUGUAAAGCUCUUUCAGCAGGAACGAAACGGUGGUCCUUAAUACGGGCUACUAAUGACGGUACCUGAAGAAGAAGCACCGGCUAACUACGUGCCAGCAGCCGCGGUAAUACGUAGGGUGCGAGCGUUAAUCGGAAUUACUGGGCGUAAAGCGUGCGCAGGCGGUUCUAUAAGACAGAUGUGAAAUCCCCGGGCUUAACCUGGGAACUGCGUUUGUGACUGUAGGACUCGAGUGUGGCAGAGGGGGGUGGAAUUCCACGUGUAGCAGUGAAAUGCGUAGAGAUGUGGAGGAACACCGAUGGCGAAGGCAGCCCCCUGGGUCAACACUGACGCUCAUGCACGAAAGCGUGGGGAGCAAACAGGAUUAGAUACCCUGGUAGUCCACGCCCUAAACGAUGCGAACUAGGUGUUGGGGAAGGAGACUUUCUUAGUACCGCAGCUAACGCGUGAA
This 836-nucleotide ribosomal RNA is filed under the name uncultured bacterium. RNAcentral's name for it is "bacterial SSU rRNA". It matches the Rfam family "Bacterial small subunit ribosomal RNA", at positions 33 to 863 of the family's 1533-position model. The record is from RNAcentral.